This 65-nucleotide transfer RNA is filed under the name marine eukaryotic metagenome. It matches the Rfam family "tRNA", at positions 5 to 66 of the family's 71-position model. Rfam says of the family: Transfer RNA (tRNA) molecules are approximately 80 nucleotides in length. Their secondary structure includes four short double-helical elements and three loops (D, anti-codon, and T loops). The record is from RNAcentral.
CCUGUAGCUCAGGGGAUAGAGCAAUGGUUUUCUAAACCAUCGGUCGGAGGUUCGAAUCCUUCCAG